RNAcentral lists this unclassified non-coding RNA (203 nucleotides) under Pasteurellaceae bacterium I37. RNAcentral's name for it is "partial RNaseP". The record is from RNAcentral. Lineage: Bacteria; Pseudomonadati; Pseudomonadota; Gammaproteobacteria; Pasteurellales; Pasteurellaceae.
GCAACCUACCCGAACUCUCGGCGGGCCACCGAUUGAGUUCCUAUUUGGUCUUGCUACGAGUGGAGUUUACCUAGCUGCCAAAUGUUACCACUGGCACGGUGCGCUCUUACCGCACCCUUUCACCCUUACCAGCCAAAGCUGGCGGUCUGCUCUCUGUUGCACUAGUCGUAGGCUCGCGCCCCCCGGACGUUAUCCGGCACUCG